CUCUCUCUCUCUCUCUCCCCCCCCCCCCCCCCCAAAAAAAAACCCUACCCAUCUACCGACGACGGCGACAACAAUCUUCUUCAUCAUCCAACCAACAACGAGUGACACACUGAAAGGCGAUUGGGGAUCGAGAGUGUGAGGGUUCUAUACACACAGAGAGAAAGCUUACAUAGAGAUGUCCAGGCACCAGACCGAUGCUAGAAACGUCAAGUUAAGCUCUUGUUUUGUCAAGCCAACCACCAUGCCUCACUUCGAGGAUCCGAGUCCGUUCAAACCACGGUUGUUUUGGGGUGUCUCAAUUUCACCCUUUCGUCUCUGAUCUGUAAUAAAUGUUUGAGACUUGACUGUACUGUUUUAGGUAGGGAUUUGGCCCCUGACAUGGAUGUUUGUGUAUAUGGCGCAUGUACAUAUGUUUUGGUUAUCAAUGUGGCAUGUUUAUAAAAAGUCUUUUGCAUA
This is a long non-coding RNA of Camellia sinensis, 456 nucleotides long. RefSeq lists it as uncharacterized. The record is from RefSeq and is a predicted model, not a curated record. Lineage: Eukaryota; Viridiplantae; Streptophyta; Magnoliopsida; Ericales; Theaceae.